UACGGAGGGUGCGAGCGUUGUCCGGAAUCAUUGGGCGUAAAGGGCGCGUAGGUGGCCCGGUCAGUCGAUGGUGAAAGCGCGGGGCUCAACUCCGCGUCGGCCGUCGAUACUGCUGGGCUUGAGCACUGUAGAGGCAGGCGGAAUUCCGGGUGUAGCGGUGGAAUGCGUAGAGAUCGGGAAGAACAUCAGUGGCGAAGGCGGCCUGCUGGGCUGUUGCUGACGCUGAGGCGCGACAGCGUGGGGAGCAAACAGG
RNAcentral lists this ribosomal RNA (253 nucleotides) under uncultured bacterium. Its description in RNAcentral is "partial 16S ribosomal RNA". It matches the Rfam family "Bacterial small subunit ribosomal RNA", at positions 524 to 776 of the family's 1533-position model. The record is from RNAcentral.